GAUGAACGCUGGCGGCGUGCCUAAUACAUGCAAGUCGAGCGAACAGACGAGGAGCUUGCUCCUCACACGUUAGCGGCGGACGGGUGAGUAACACGUGGAUAACCUACCUAUCAGACUGGUAUAACUUCGGGAAACCGGCGCUAAUACCGGAUAAUAUAUUGAACCGCAUGGUUCGAUAGUGAAAGACGGGUUUUCUGUCACUUCUAGGUGGAUCCGCGCCGCGUUAGCUGGUUUGUAAGGUAACGGCUUACCAAGGCAACGAUGCGUAGCCGACCUGAGAGGGGGAUCGGCCACACUGGAAGUGAGACGCGGUCCAGACUCCUACGGGAGGCAGCAGUAGGGAAUCUUCGGCAAUGGGCGAAAGCCUGACGGAGCAACGCGGAGUGAGUGAUGAAGGUGCUCGGAUCGUAAAGAUCUGUUAUGAGGGAAGAACCAAUGUGUAAGUAGAUAUGCACGUCUUGACGGUACCUAAACAGAAAGCCACGGCUAACUACGUG
This 497-nucleotide ribosomal RNA is filed under the name uncultured bacterium. Its description in RNAcentral is "partial 16S ribosomal RNA". It matches the Rfam family "Bacterial small subunit ribosomal RNA", at positions 28 to 507 of the family's 1533-position model. The record is from RNAcentral.